Molecule: non-coding RNA, 72 nt
Organism: Bos taurus (domestic cattle)
Lineage: Eukaryota; Metazoa; Chordata; Mammalia; Artiodactyla; Bovidae
Source: Rfam
UCCCUGGUGGUCCAAUGGUUAGGACUUUGCACUUUCACUCUGAGGGCCUGGGUUUGAUCCCUGGUCAGGGAA